Molecule: ribosomal RNA, 348 nt
Filed under: uncultured Streptococcus sp.
Lineage: Bacteria; Bacillati; Bacillota; Bacilli; Lactobacillales; Streptococcaceae
Description: bacterial SSU rRNA
Rfam family: Bacterial small subunit ribosomal RNA
Source: RNAcentral
UGACAGGUGGUGCAUGGUUGUCGUCGGCUCGUGUCGUGAGAUGUUGGGUUAAGUCCCGCAACGAGCGCAACCCCUAUUGUUAGUUGCCAUCAUUCAGUUGGGCACUCUAGCGAGACUGCCGGUAAUAAACCGGAGGAAGUGGGGAUGACGUCAAAUCAUCAUGCCCCUUAUGACCUGGGCUACACACGUGCUACAAUGGUUGGUACAACGAGUUGCGAGUCGGUGACGGCGAGCUAAUCUCUUAAAGCCAAUCUCAGUUCGGAUUGUAGGCUGCAACUCGCCUACAUGAAGUCGGAAUCGCUAGUAAUCGCGGAUCAGCACGCCGCGGUGAAUACGUUCCCGGGCCUU